RNAcentral lists this ribosomal RNA (396 nucleotides) under uncultured microorganism. RNAcentral describes it as "bacterial SSU rRNA". It matches the Rfam family "Archaeal small subunit ribosomal RNA", at positions 330 to 728 of the family's 1478-position model. The record is from RNAcentral.
GCGCAGCAGUCGAGAAACUUCACAAUGUGCGAAAGCACGAUGAGGGAAUCCCAAGUGCUUGCUCGUAAGAGUAAGCUGUUUCUCUGUCUAAAACGCAGAGAGAGUAAGGGCUGGGCAAGACGGGUGCCAGCCGCCGCGGUAAUACCUGCAGCUCGAGUGGUGGCCGCUAUUAUUGGGCCUAAAACGUCCGUAGCCGGUUUAUUAAAUGCCUGGGUAAAUCGGACCGCUUAACGGUUCGAAUUCCGGGUAGACUGAUAAACUUGAGACCGGGAGAAGCUAGAGGUACUCCUGGGGUAGAGGUGAAAUUCUGUAAUCCUAGGGGGACCACCAGUGGCGAAGGCGUCUAGCUAGAACGGGUCUGACGGUGAGGGACGAAGCCCUGGGGCGCAAAACGGG